GGAGUUGUGGCUCUGUGGUAGAGCGCUUGCCUAGCAUGCAUGAGGCACUGGGUUCAAUCCCUGGUGCCA
RNAcentral lists this transfer RNA (69 nucleotides) under Ictidomys tridecemlineatus (thirteen-lined ground squirrel). Its description in RNAcentral is "Spermophilus tridecemlineatus (thirteen-lined ground squirrel) tRNA". It matches the Rfam family "tRNA". From Rfam's summary of the family: Transfer RNA (tRNA) molecules are approximately 80 nucleotides in length. Their secondary structure includes four short double-helical elements and three loops (D, anti-codon, and T loops). Lineage: Eukaryota; Metazoa; Chordata; Mammalia; Rodentia; Sciuridae. The record is from Rfam by way of RNAcentral.